RNAcentral lists this ribosomal RNA (486 nucleotides) under uncultured bacterium. Its description in RNAcentral is "partial 16S ribosomal RNA". It matches the Rfam family "Bacterial small subunit ribosomal RNA", at positions 28 to 507 of the family's 1533-position model. The record is from RNAcentral.
GACGAACGCUGGCGGCGUGCUUAACACAUGCAAGUCGAACGCUGAAGACCUGGCUUUUGUUGGGUUGGAUGAGUGGCGAACGGGUGAGUAACACGUGAGUAACCUGCCCUCUUCUUUGGGAUAACGCCCGGAAACGGGUGCUAAUACUGGAUAUUCACUGAUCUUCGCAUGGGGGUUGGUGGAAAGGUUUGUUCUGGUGGGGGAUGGGCUCGCGGCCUAUCAGCUUGUUGGUGGGGUGAUGGCCUACCAAGGCUUUGACGGGUAGCCGGCCUGAGAGGGUGACCGGUCACAUUGGGACUGGGAUACGGCCCAGACUCCUACGGGAGGCAGCAGUGGGGAAUAUUGCACAAUGGGCGAAAGCCUGAUGCAGCGACGCCGCGUGAGGGAUGGAGGCCUUCGGGUUGUAAACCUCUUUCGCUCAUGGUCAAGCCGCAACUGUGGGUUGUGGUGAGGGUAGUGGGUAAAGAAGCGCCGGCUAACUACGUG